CGCUCGAUAUUGAACCGAUACGUAUCGGACAUCGGUACACUCAAAUUAAUUUCUCGAAAAUCUUGUCGUGUCGGUAACCGAAUUAUUUUUAGAAAAGUAAAUAAAUUAUUGUCGCUUGUCCGAGUGGCUUUGCACUGUCUACCCGAGAACGACAAAUAACAAUAGAUGUCAGAUAACGACUACCUAGUAGAGUGCUAUAUAGAUGGCGAAGUCGGCCUCUGACGUCUUAUUUCCGAUAAUUAUUAAAUAAUAACGGUCAACAGCUGAGAGCGGAUCGUGUCGACUGCCAGUCCGUGGUUCGGUGAUAGUUCUUUUCUUUUAACGGAUAUCCCACACUGUCGUACAUGUAUUAUAUAUGUAUAGUUAUAUAAUUUACCCGCAUAACAGAAGUUUCCCACUAAAUACUGAAAUUGUGUUUUGUUCAGCUGACGCGUUUUAGUCGUUUACGCUCCGUCAUAAUUGAAUUUAAUAAUUUGAGGCUAGUGCCGUUCCUAUGACAAUUUUCAGUUUUUGUCCAUACGAUAUUGUGGCAUAAAUUAUGUUUUAAACAUUGUAAUAUCGUUCCGUCACCAAUUGCUGAUCGACAGAAGAAAUUAUUUACAACAUUCACGAAGUACAUAUUAACUAUUGUCUAUUAGAAUUGUCGGCAAUAUUAUUUGUGUUUCUAAAAUGGCAAACAACACUUGGAAUUCGUGGGUUUCUAACAUUCAACAAUCGGGCACUUGGAACAUAUAUGAUGGUUUUAAACCAGCAAAAUGUAAAAAUCAACCUCCAGUUAAUUAUAAACACAAAAGUGUUGUUGGUUGUCCAAACCGUGUGUUACAUGUUGAAAUUAUGAGGUCUACAGUUAAAAUCACUACGCAUGUAUUGUAUUCAAUUUUGGUCAUUCAUGGAGAAAUAUUACGAAUUGUUGUAUACAGAAAGUUUCGACAACUUAGGGCAUUUGUUGAAUUUAGUAAGGAGGAAUUUGCAACAAAAGUAAUUGAUGAAUCUAAUCAUAUUGUUUUAGAUUAUAUAACAUUGAAGGCUGAGUAUGGUAAGCCUUCCAGUGUAAUAGUAAAAAAAAAUGAUGAACUAUCUUGGGAUUAUUCAAAGUCACCCUUAUUAAAAUAUGUUAAUGGUUUACCUACACUGAAAUCUAUUGUCGCUAUUUUAAAAGAUUCACCUCAAAAAAAUAGAAACAUUGCAGAAAACGACAAAACUUGGGAACUGGUCGAAAACUAUGAUUUUAUUAAACCUGAUGAUAAACCCAUUGCGCCAGGAAAAAGUAGUACGAAACAGAUCAUUACAACCGCAAACAGUAAAACCCGUAAAACACUUUUGGUGAUACCAAUUUCCGAAGAAUUUUCCAUUCUUUCUGUCCGUGGCCUUGAUCCAGCUAAAAGCAAUUGUAAUCGACUUUUCAGACUAUUAUCUAUGUACGCCACGGUGGCUAAAAUUGAUUAUUUACCUGAAUUAAAGUCUGCUGAAGUUCACAUCAGUAAAUGCAAUGAUAUAAACAUAUUUGCUCAAGUUCAACAACAUUAUCUUUCGCAUGGAUUCAAUUUAUCAUUCCAAUAUUUAAAAGCUGAAUGGAUAUUGAAAAAACCUUCUAUCGAUCCAUUUAUUUUGCCCGAUGGAUCUCCAUCACAUGUAGUCUAUGAUAGAAAAAUGAAACCACAUGUAUUAUGUCCACCAUCUAGAGUGCUCCAGUUUGAAGGUGCUCCGCCAAGUAUGAAUGAAAUGAAACUUAUCGCUCUGUUAAAACGAACGAUAAAAAUAGAGGAUUUUAAGGUGAAAGUGACAACUCCUAAAGAUUCUAAAAAUUGUUCGACGAUUAGCGGUGAAAUGUGGUUUUCUUCUGCCAGUGUAGCUAUUGAAGUCGUAAUGGAAAUUAAUUAUGCUAUUUUUUGGAAUAAAGAUUCCAACAAGAAGAAGCACGUAUUGAAACUAUCAUUUAUUUCUGAAGUAUUGCCAAUACUUGAAGUUGUUGUGCCCAAAAAAGAAAACAAUAAAGCGAUUAAGAUCGAAGAUAAUAAAGCAAUCAAAACAGAAGAUUUUGAAGCAAUUGAAAAUGAAGAAAAUAAAAUGAUUAAAACGGAAGAUUUUAAAGCGAUUAAAAAUGAAAAUAAUAAAAGAAUCAAAACAGAAGAUUUUGAAGCGAUUGAAAAUGAAGAAAAUAAAAUCAUUAAAACGGAAAAUUUUAAAGCGAUUGAAAAUGAAAAUAAUAAAAGAAUCAAAACAGAAGAUUUUGAAGCGAUUGAAAAUGAAGAAAAUAAAAUCAUUAAAACGGAAGAUUUUGAAGCGAUUGAAAAUGAAUAUAAUAAAAGAAUCAAAACAGAAGAUUUUGAAGCGAUUGAAAAUGAAGAAAAUAAAAUCAUUAAAACGGAAGAUUUUGAAGCGAUUGAAAAUGAAUAUAAUAAAAGAAUCAAAACAGAAGAUUUUGAAGCGAUUGAAAAUGAAAAUAAUAAAAGAAUCAAAACAGAAGAUUUUGAAGCGAUUGAAAAUAAAGAAAAUAAAAUCAUUAAAACGGAAGAUUUUAAAGCGAUUGAAAAUGAAUAUAAUAAAAGAAUAAAAACAGAAGAUUUUGAAGCGAUUGAAUAUGAAGAAAAUAAAAUCAUUAAAACGGAAGAUUUUAAAGCGAUUGAAAAUGAAUAUAAUAAAAUCAUUAAAACGGAAGAUUUUAAAGUGAUUGAAAAUGAAAAUAAUAAAAUCAUUAAAACCGAAAGUAUUGACGCGAUCAUUAUGGAAGAUAAUAACGCAAUCAAAACAGAGUAUUGUAUAGUUAUUAAAACAGAAGUUGAUUAAUCAUAAAUUAAUCAUAAAAAUGUAUCAUAAAUGUUGAGGUUUUGCUUAGCAUAUGUUUAAAAAAAUGUAUAUGACAUGUCUUAAUUAUAAUUUGUUAUCACGGACGUACAUAAAUAACUCAAGACUGUAGGUUUAAAGAACGGAAUAUUGUAUGAAAAAUGUCGGUAUUUUCAUCAAGACUGAAUAUUUUUUUGAAAACAUUUCUUGUCAAUAUGAAACGCAAAACCAU
RNA transcript from Aphis gossypii (cotton aphid), 3016 nucleotides. It is a transcript of the gene named heterogeneous nuclear ribonucleoprotein L-like, with no coding region annotated. The transcript is spliced from 18 exons. Lineage: Eukaryota; Metazoa; Arthropoda; Insecta; Hemiptera; Aphididae. The record is from RefSeq and is a predicted model, not a curated record.